GUGAUUUGGCCGAGAGGCCUUUAUCCAAAUCCUCACACCUGUGAACUCGUCGGUGGGCUUCAGUGCCCGCCGGACAUACAAUACUAUGUGUAACGAACGUCAUGUAUAACAUAACAAAAACA
Molecule: unclassified non-coding RNA, 122 nt
Filed under: uncultured Tremellales
Lineage: Eukaryota; Fungi; Basidiomycota; Tremellomycetes; Tremellales
Description: sequence contains ITS1
Source: RNAcentral